RNAcentral lists this long non-coding RNA (439 nucleotides) under Bubo bubo (Eurasian eagle-owl). Its description in RNAcentral is "lncRNA (ENSBOBG00000005679.1)". The record is from RNAcentral. Lineage: Eukaryota; Metazoa; Chordata; Aves; Strigiformes; Strigidae.
GAGGCAAGGAGCUACCCCCCUGUGACAGAGGCUCGGGAAUCUCCAUUAUGUGAGGUCGUCACAUUUAGGCUUGAAGAGUCUGGUAUUUUGCAGACUGGAAAACACGGAGCACUUCGUAACACUCAUGGAGUAAUGAAGCAAGGACCAAAGCCUCCUGGAGGGAGAUGUGUCAAAGGAGUCACAGCCAGCAUGCUGCAGUUUAUACAGCCUCAGUAGGAAAUAUGAAGCAUGGCUGAAAGUUUAUUUUCAUUCACCAAAGUAAAUUCACUGCUCAGAGAAGAGAGGUCCGAGUCUUCCGUGCUUCAUUUUGAAGUGUUAUGUCAGUUUAGAAAGCCCACAAGGAAGGACUCAUGUAGGGAGUGGCGUUCGGAAGAUCUCGCGAUGUACGGAAGGAAUAGCUGUAGCCCUCCCUUGCUACGAGGUAACAGCUACUGGUAAA